AGUGAACGCUGGCGGUAUGCCUAACACAUGCAAGUCGAGCGGCAGCACAGUAAGCUCUUGCUCUUACGGUUGGCGGGUGACGGACGGGUGAGGAGUACAUCGGAAGCUACUUUUUCGUGGGGGAUAACUUGGGGAAACUGACGCUACUACCUCAUACGAUCUACGGCAGAAUUCAGGUUUUCUUCGGACCUUUCGCUAUUUAAUAAGUCGAUGUCGGAUUAGCUAGUUGGUGGGGUAAAGGCCCACCAAGCCGACGAUCCGUAGCUGGUCUGAGAGGAUGGUCAGCAACACUGGAACUGAGAACCGGUCCAGACUCUUACGGGAGGCGGAAGAGGGGAAUAUUGGACAAUGGGCGAAGGCCUGAUCCAGCAAUACCGCGUGGGUGAGGAAGGUCUUCGGGUUGUAAAGCCCUUUUGUUGGGAAAGAAAAGCAGCAGGUUAAAACGCUGAUGUUGUGACGGUAACCAAAGAAUAAGCAACGGCUAACUUCGUG
This 492-nucleotide ribosomal RNA is filed under the name uncultured bacterium. RNAcentral's name for it is "partial 16S ribosomal RNA". It matches the Rfam family "Bacterial small subunit ribosomal RNA", at positions 29 to 507 of the family's 1533-position model. The record is from RNAcentral.